RNAcentral lists this long non-coding RNA (265 nucleotides) under Sinocyclocheilus anshuiensis. RNAcentral describes it as "lncRNA (ENSSANG00000019548.1)". The record is from RNAcentral. Lineage: Eukaryota; Metazoa; Chordata; Actinopteri; Cypriniformes; Cyprinidae.
CUCUCGUGCGCGGCAGCAGAAUGAAGAUGUCACUUGUGACAAACUGGCUACUGUUGUGAGCACUCGGCCCAUCACUUACACUGUCAGUGUGUUUGUUUAUAUACAUCCAUGUUCUUGUGAACUCGGGAAUGCCUGGAAUCUGAGAUCUACAGCCACCCUGAGACUUCAGUCAUAAACCGUGAAGCCUCGAAGAGCGUGACUCCAUCCUAACAAUAAUCCUGUUUUCACUCAGCGUGCAGAUGAAAACCUCUCCCACAGGGCCAAC